RNAcentral lists this ribosomal RNA (497 nucleotides) under uncultured bacterium. Its description in RNAcentral is "partial 16S ribosomal RNA". It matches the Rfam family "Bacterial small subunit ribosomal RNA", at positions 28 to 507 of the family's 1533-position model. The record is from RNAcentral.
GAUGAACGCUGGCGGCGUGCCUAAUACAUGCAAGUCGAGCGAACAGACGAGAAGCUUGCUUCUCUGACGUUAGCGGCGGACGGGUGAGUAACACGUGGAUAACCUACCUAUAAGACUGGGAUAACUUCGGGAAACCGGAGCUAAUACCGGAUAAUAUUUUGAACCGCAUGGUUCAAUAGUGAAAGACGGUCUUGCUGUCACUUAUAGAUGGAUCCGCGCUGCAUUAGCUAGUUGGUAAGGUAACGGCUUACCAAGGCAACGAUGCGUAGCCGACCUGAGAGGGUGAUCGGCCACACUGGAACUGAGACACGGUCCAGACUCCUACGGGAGGCAGCAGUAGGGAAUCUUCCGCAAUGGGCGAAAGCCUGACGGAGCAACGCCGCGUGAGUGAUGAAGGUCUUCGGAUCGUAAAACUCUGUUAUUAGGGAAGAACAAAUGUGUAAGUAACUAUGCACGUCUUGACGGUACCUAAUCAGAAAGCCACGGCUAACUACGUG